CAAAAACAUGUCUUUUUGAUUUUAAUUUAAAGUCUUGCCUGCCCAAUGAUUAAUUUAAUGGCCGCAGUAUUUUGACUGUGCAAAGGUAGCAUAAUCAUUAGUUUUCUAAUUGAAAGCUGGAAUGAAUGGUUUGAUGAAAAAUAAACUGUCUCUUUAUAAAUUUUUUAAAAUUUUAAUUUUGAGUGAAAAAGCUUAAAUUUUAUAGAAAGACGAGAAGACCCUAUAGAGUUUUAUAAUUAAUAUUUUUAUGAAUUUUUUGUUUUUAUUUUUUUUGAGAGUUUUAAUUAUUUUGUUGGGGUGAUAUAAAAAUUUAACUAACUUUUUAUUUAUUUAAACAUUUAUUUAUGGAUUUUUGAUCCUUUAAUUUGGAUUAUAAGAUAAAAUUACCUUAGGGAUAACAGCGUAAUUUUUCUGGAAAGUUCUUAUUUAUAGAAAAGUUUGCGACCUCGAUGUUGGAUUAAAAUUAAUUUUUGGUGUAGAAGCUGAAAUAUUAGGUCUGUUCGACCUUUAAAAUUUUACAUGAUCU
RNAcentral lists this ribosomal RNA (526 nucleotides) under Zeadelium complicatum. RNAcentral describes it as "partial 16S ribosomal RNA". It matches the Rfam family "Bacterial large subunit ribosomal RNA", at positions 1808 to 2606 of the family's 2925-position model. The record is from RNAcentral. Lineage: Eukaryota; Metazoa; Arthropoda; Insecta; Coleoptera; Tenebrionidae.